RNAcentral lists this long non-coding RNA (1434 nucleotides) under Salmo salar (Atlantic salmon). RNAcentral describes it as "lncRNA (ENSSSAG00000115196.1)". Lineage: Eukaryota; Metazoa; Chordata; Actinopteri; Salmoniformes; Salmonidae. The record is from RNAcentral.
GUGUUCUUAGUGUGGUGCCAGGAAAAUAACCUCUCACUCAACGUCAACAAAACAAAGGAGAUGAUCGUGGACUUCAGGAGGGAGCACCCCCCUAUCCACAUCGACGGGACCGCAGUGGAGAAGGUGCACAACUGAGAGCAUCCUGUCAGGUUGUAUAACCGCUUGGUACGGCAACUGCACCGCCUGCAACUGCAGGGCUUUCCAGAGGGUGGUGAGGUCUGCCCAACACAUCACCGGGGGCCUCCAGGACACCUAUGUCACAGCACCCGAUGUCACAGUGUUACGGAUACAGGUAUCCUGUACUGCAGGACCAAAGGGAUUCGUAACACACAGGAAGGCAAAAAAGAUAAUCAAGGACAACAACCACCCAAGCCACUGCCUGUUCACCCUGCUAUCAUCCAGAAGGUGUCACCCAUCUUCCCCAUUAUCCCCUGUGUAUUUAUACCUGUGUUCUCUGUUUGUCUGUUGCCAGUUCGUCUUGUUUGUCAAGUCAACCAGCAGUUUUGUCUCUCAGCUUCUGCUGUUCCCAGUCUUUUUUUUUAUUUUUUGCCCUCCUGGUUUUGACCCUUGCCUGUCCUGACCCUGCCUGCCGACCUGUACUUUUGCCCCACCUUUGGAUUAUUGACCUCUGCCUACCCUGACCCUGAGCCUGCCUGCCGUCCGGUACCGUUUCCCCAACCCUGGUUUACUGACCCCUGCCUGCCUUGACCUGUCUAUUGUCUGCCCCUGUUGGAUUAUUAAACCAUUGUUAAUUCGGCAUUGUCUGCAUCUGGGUCUUCCUUUCAUACCUGAUAUUCAUAUUGUUGAGUAAUGGAAUAGAGUUAUAUAUUUGUUUGUCACUUAUUCAGCAGCCUAAGUAUUUAAUAUUUAUUGUGGUCUACUUAAAGAAUUGCUGUAGUCCGUGAGUUAUUCUUUUUCCUAUUGCCAUAAUUUCAAUGUUUUUUUCCACGUUAAUUUUAUAUCCUGAGAUUUGAGUAUUCCAAAAAUAUUUUUAGCAAAGGGGGCAUUGAGUUUUCAAUUGUGGGCUGGUUAAAUAAAAAUAAAAAAAUAUCAGGAGAUCGUCUGUGAUAAGUUUAGUUUAUAUUCAUGGUUACCAAUACUGACACCUGACUUACGUUUGGGUCCUGUCUAAUUCUUUCUGCAAGUGGUUCAACUGCCAGUGCAAACAGAAGGGGGGACAUCAUGGUCUUUUGCUCCUUUUCAAAGCAAUUUCAAUCGAUAAUGUAGUAUUUGUGUAUAGUUUUGCUUUAGUACAUUUAUAGAAUAUUUGCAUUAUUCCAUGUGUAACUCUGUUUUUGUUGCACUGCUUUAUCUUCGCCAGGUCGCAGUUGUAAAUGAGAACUUGUUCUCAACUGGCCUACCUGGUUAAAUAAAGGUGAAAAUAAAAAUAUAUAUUUGUAUUAGAUGUAUUAUUUCAGAUGGAAAGUUGAAAUC